Molecule: ribosomal RNA, 402 nt
Filed under: uncultured bacterium
Lineage: Bacteria
Description: bacterial SSU rRNA
Rfam family: Bacterial small subunit ribosomal RNA
Source: RNAcentral
CCUACGGGAGGCAGCAGUGGGGAAUAUUGCACAAUGGGCGAAAGCCUGAUGCAGCAACGCCGCGUGAGCGAUGAAGGCCUUCGGGUCGUAAAGAAAAAAAAAUCAAGGAAGAUAAUGACGGUACUUGAGGAGGAAGCCCCGGCUAACUACGUGCCAGCAGCCGCGGUAAUACGUAGGGGGCUAGCGUUAUCCGGAAUUACUGGGCGUAAAGGGUGCGUAGGUGGUUUCUUAAGUCAGAGGUGAAAGGCUACGGCUCAACCGUAGUAAGCCUUUGAAACUGGGAAACUUGAGUGCAGGAGAGGAGAGUGGAAUUCCUAGUGUAGCGGUGAAAUGCGUAGAUAUUAGGAGGAACACCAGUUGCGAAGGCGGCUCUCUGGACUGUAACUGACACUGAGGCACGAA